This 509-nucleotide ribosomal RNA is filed under the name uncultured Glomus. Its description in RNAcentral is "SSU rRNA". It matches the Rfam family "Eukaryotic small subunit ribosomal RNA", at positions 569 to 1081 of the family's 1831-position model. Lineage: Eukaryota; Fungi; Glomeromycota; Glomeromycetes; Glomerales; Glomeraceae. The record is from RNAcentral.
AGCAGCCGCGGUAAUUCCAGCUCCAAUAGCGUAUAUUAAAGUUGUUGCAGUUAAAAAGCUCGUAGUUGAAUUUCGGGAUCAAUACGUCGGUCGUGCCUCUGGUAUGUACUGGUGUUAUUGAUUUCUCCCUUCUGAUGAACCAUGAUGUCAUUCAUUUGGUGUUGUGUGGAGUCAGGACUGUUACUUUGAAAAAAUUAGAGUGUUUAAAGCAGGCUCACGCUUGAAUACAUUAGCAUGGAAUAAUGAAAUAGGACGUUCGAUCCUAUUUUGUUGGUUUCUAGGAUCAACGUAAUGAUUAAUAGGGAUAGUUGGGGGCAUUAGUAUUCAAUUGUCAGAGGUGAAAUUCUUGGAUUUAUUGAAGACUAACUACUGCGAAAGCAUUUGCCAAGGAUGUUUUCAUUAAUCAAGAACGAAAGUUAGGGGAUCGAAGACGAUCAGAUACGUCGUAGUCUUAACCAUAAACUAUGCCGACUGGGGAUCGGAUGAUGUUAAUUUUUAAUGACUCAUUC